AUACGUAGGGAGCGAGCGUUGUCCGGAAUUACUGGGUGUAAAGGGAGCGUAGGCGGGAGUGCAAGUCAGAUGUGAAAUACAUGGGCUCAACCCAUGGGCUGCAUUUGAAACUGCAUUUCUUGAGUGAAGUAGAGGUAAGCGGAAUUCCUGGUGUAGCGGUGAAAUGCGUAGAUAUCAGGAGGAACACCGGUGGCGAAGGCGGCUUACUGGGCUUUUACUGACGCUGAGGCUCGAAAGCGUGGGGAGCAAACAGGAUUAGAUACCCUGGUAGUCCACGCUGUAAACGAUGAUUACUAGGUGUGGGGGGACUGACCCCUUCCGUGCCGCAGUUAACACAAUAAGUAGUCCACCUGGGGAGUACGGCCGCAAGGUUGAAACUCAAAUGAAUUGACGGGG
Molecule: ribosomal RNA, 396 nt
Filed under: uncultured bacterium
Lineage: Bacteria
Description: partial 16S ribosomal RNA
Rfam family: Bacterial small subunit ribosomal RNA
Source: RNAcentral